This 30-nucleotide non-coding RNA is filed under the name Homo sapiens (human). Lineage: Eukaryota; Metazoa; Chordata; Mammalia; Primates; Hominidae. The record is from RNAcentral.
CGGCCAACACAGGGGAACCCCGUCUCCACC